AACCCCUUUUUUACAGCUUUCUUUUUCAAGUAAUUUGGUAACUGUUGUUGUUUCUUGAGGGAUUAAGACUUGAGUGAUGAUUUAGUUAUAGUUAGACAAACAAAAUUUAUAUGAAUCUUCUCACAGAUGCUUACUUGGAGUAUUUAUUUGACAAAGGAUUUUAAAAGAUUUGGUGGAUUUUAGUUUAUUAAUCUAACCGUUUGGGAUUUUUUUCCACGUUUUCCUUUUUCCGUGUAGUAGUAUUAUUAUAUAUCAGUGUAUCUAUAUAAUUAAUCACACAGUUAACAAAAAAGAAAUAAAACCCUAAAUUGCGAUCUCCAUCAUUAGCUCUCUCUCUCUCGAGUCUCGAUCGUCAACAAAUUGCGCUCUCCCUCCAACACGAAACUCUUCUCUCGCUUCUGUCUUUAUUUGAUUAGAUUCGUUUCGUUUCGUUUCGUUUCGUUUCUUUUCUGAGUGUGUUUGUUUGUUUGGUAAUGAUGAUGAAAGGUUCGUGUCCAACUAAAGAGCACUUCCUUCCCAGGAAGCGAUCCAAGGACAAUUAUGAUCGGUUUAUACCGAAUAGGUCUGCCAUGGACUUUGACUACGCUCAUUACGCUCUUACCGAAGGAGGAAGAAAAGUUCAGGAUGAGGUAACUUCACCAUCCAGAAAAGCCUACAUACAAGGAUUAGGUCAGAUCUUGAAUAUGAAUCGAACCCGGAUCCUCGCUUUCAGAAACAAACCUCAACCUCAAGCUCUGCUUUCUACUAGUAGUAUUCACUCUGUUUCUUCUUCUGAUCCUCACCAACCCGUAAAGCCUCGUAGAUACAUUCCUCAGACUUGUGAGAAAACCUUGGACCUACCUGACAUUGCCGAUGACUUCUACCUUAACUUGUUGGACUGGAGCAGUGCUAAUGUUCUAGCCGUGGCUUUGGGACACACUGUUUACUUGCGCAAUGCAUCCACUGAUCUUACAUAUGAGCUUGUGACCGUUGAUGAAGAGGAGGGACCUGUCACAUGCGUUAACUGGACGCAAGAUGGUAAAUCUCUUGCAGUUGGUCUUCACAACUCUGAGGUGCAGCUGUGGGAUUCUUCUGAUGGUAGACUGAUAAGAACUUUGAAACGUGGUCACCAGUCAAGAGUGGGUUCAUUGGCAUGGAACAAUCACAUUCUAACAACUGGAGGAAUGGACGGACGGGUCAUCAACAAUGAUGUGCGGAUCAGAUCACCCAUUGUGGCUACUUACGUGGGUCACACUGAAGAGGUUUGUGGUCUCAAGUGGUCAGCAUCAGGACGCCAACUAGCAAGUGGUGGUAACGACAGUGUGGUACACGUAUGGGAUCUUUCCUCCAACUCAACUAGGAGGCAAUGGCUGCAUAGGUUUCAGCAACAUAGAGCUUCUGUGAAAGCUCUUGCGUGGUGCCCUUUCCAAUCGAGUUUGCUUGCAACUGGUGGUGGUGGCAGAGAUCAGACGAUUAAGUUCUGGAAUACACUCACUGGGGCUUGCUUGAACUCAGUUGACACCGGCUCUCAAGUUUGUUCACUGUUAUGGAGCAAAAACGAAAGAGAACUGCUUAGCUCACAUGGGUAUACACAGAAUCAGCUUACACUUUGGAAGUACCCAUCCUUGGUGAAAAUGGCUCAACUCACUGGUCAUACAUCAAGAGUUCUUUAUAUGGCACAGAGUCCGGAUGGGUGUACCGUGGCUUCAGCAGCACCAGCACCAGACGAGACUCUCAUGUUUUGGAAUGUUUUUGGAGUACCAGGGACCGUCAAGAAACCUGUUCCAAAGAUGUUUCCAAUGAUAUAUACAUAGGAGAGACAUCAUCAAGGCUGCUGAUUCUUUCAGGCAGGUAAGGUUGCUAGACACAAGAUCUUCAGUCCAGUGGGUUGUCGCCAAAGUGUAAGAUUGAAUUAUUUCAACCAUUUUGAGAAAAUAUAUUGUGACAAGUUCGAAAACAAUCAGGCAAAGAUGAAACAAUUGUGGCUCAUAUAGCUGGAGGUAUUGAUGCAUUUUUAAAGGUCUCUGAUGGUUGGCCAAUGCUGAAUACCCCAUUGAAGCUUGCAUCUCUCAAGAACUCAGACAAUCAGUCAGAGGGAAUUUCUCUGAGCCUUAUAUGCAAAGUUGAGGAACUAGCGAAUUCGUUGGAUUUACAGACCCGGCAAAACUUGUCAGGCUUCAUGGAUGCUAUUGAGAAAAUACUUAUGCAACAAACCUGUGAAGAACUCCAGUCCAAUGAAUCCUCCCAAAAGUGAGAGUAACAUGGAUGCUUUGUUUUGGGAGUUGUGUGAUUCUUAUUUCAGGAUGUGGAGAAGUCAACAGAGAAUCCACCAUCUAGCCAGCUCAGUGGAAAUAUGGGGUGCGAAUGAUGAUGACAAGAUUAAGAGGUUUUUAAUAGGAAAAGAUUAGAAGAGUUCUAGCACAUAUCUGCUUAGUUUCUUCUAUACACCCACCCUUUUUUCACAUGUUUGAACUUGAAAAUCAGAUUGAGGAGAAAAAUGAUGAUUCUGGAGUCAUAAGAAGAUCUGGAUUCUUCACGUAAAAGGUUCGAUGCUGCAGCAAACCAGUGAACUCCAUUCCAAUGAAUCCCUCCCAGAAAGAGUGUACCAAUCAAGAACCAACCUCGACUUCACAACAACUUAGCGUUUCCUGGAGAGUUUGUGCGGUUUUUCUUUCGUUUCGAUCUCCUUUAAUGUUUUGUCGUCAGUAACUCUUUGUUGUAGUACUUUGGCAUUUUCUGCCACGGUCCAUCGCAUGACAUCUAAUGAGAGGGAGCUUGCUGGUUCAUGUA
Molecule: RNA transcript, 2769 nt
Organism: Camelina sativa (false flax)
Lineage: Eukaryota; Viridiplantae; Streptophyta; Magnoliopsida; Brassicales; Brassicaceae
Gene name: cell division cycle 20.1, cofactor of APC complex-like
Source: RefSeq, a predicted model, not a curated record